AACAAAACAAAACAAAAAAAAAAAAAACAAAAAACCACAGGUCAUUCUGCCACCCCAUUCAUCGACAGGGUAUUUGACUGAUGAGCUGACUGGGCAGGUGUCUCUUUCCUCCCUCGCCACUCCAAGUGCAUCCCCCCUGAAGCUGCAAAGAGGAGGAUAACCUCCCCUGAAUAGAGGAUAAUCGGUCUUCUGGUCAAGUGUAUAGGAGUAGCUUGAGUUUCCCCUACUAGACACUCUAAACAAGCUCUCAGGAAACCAGGUUGUCAUAUCCAGAAGGGAACUCAGAAUUGCUCCUUAAACAGUACUU
Molecule: small nuclear RNA, 307 nt
Filed under: Mus pahari (shrew mouse)
Lineage: Eukaryota; Metazoa; Chordata; Mammalia; Rodentia; Muridae
Description: sRNA (MGP_PahariEiJ_G0007993.1)
Rfam family: 7SK RNA
About the family: 7SK was discovered as an abundant small nuclear RNA in the mid-70s but a possible function has only recently been suggested. Two independent studies have found that 7SK RNA binds the CDK9/cyclin T complex (known as elongation factor P-TEFb).
Source: RNAcentral